This is a long non-coding RNA of Armigeres subalbatus, 1421 nucleotides long. RefSeq lists it as uncharacterized. NCBI's taxonomy places the organism in Eukaryota, Metazoa, Arthropoda, Insecta, Diptera, Culicidae. The transcript is spliced from 2 exons. The record is from RefSeq and is a predicted model, not a curated record.
CGUUUGUUACAAAUUAGUUGCUGGCUCCACCGCAAUUGUUUGCUUUUUGAAUUAAUUUUGUCACACCCUAGUUUGGCUCCACACACCCAUUAGUGAGUGUCGGCCCUGUCAGGCUCUCACGCGCGUUUGACAGUUGUCUCACCCACAGUAGACUCGCCUCAUCCAAUCAUUUCAUUCUGAAAUUUAUUGACAGCGGUACAGGUGGGUUGCCAAAAUCAACACCUGAUUCCAAAAAAAAAACAUAAAUAGAGGUUACCACCAUGAGCUAGAGAGAGAAAGCAAACGCAAGGUGGGAGUAAAUACUGUCAAACUUCGUGCUUCACACGAAGUUUGAUCUCCCGUUUACUACCCGCUGUUAAAACCUCAGCCCAUUACCAAAAAAUUUCUUUUCGGUCGCAAACCCUCGUAGGGAGUAGUAGUGCGCGACGUGUGUCUUAAAAAUUUAAUUAAAAGGUUAGAAAAAAACCUUAGUGAAAGUGUUUUUUUAUUCUAAUUGUGCCAGUUUGUUAAGUCUCCUUAUUAGGUAUCGCAAGAAAAAUACCUAAGGUGCUGGGUGAUCCCGUGAAAAAACUGCAGAAAAAAGGUCCGAUAGUGGGCCUUUUUUCUUUUGUUCCUUUGGAACAGGUUUGGAACCCUUCCGCAGGAGAUCGUGGCGGUCACCAGGGUGGCCCCCAGCAGUGCACUACCAUCAGCCAAAUUUCCCUCGUGCUAGAGGUUCGACCGGAAAGACCAUCAGCCCAUCAGCCCGGAAGCCGUGAUUCCGUUCCGCGACUGUGAGCAGUCAAUUCAAGCCAUCAUCAAGUGCGCCAGUGUCCUGAGUGUCGUGUGUGUGCAGCCAUUUUGGAUUCGGGUAUCGGCCAGGUCGGGAAGAUAUUCCGUAGCGACGUAUCACGUGGAAUUGGUGGAGAACUUUCGAUCGGCGAGGCCGACCAGCCGCGUAACCGUCAUCUCAAGCUACCCCGGAUUGCAAGCCAUCGAAUCGAACCGAGCGACCGCAACAUCACUUUUCGUCCGGCAAGCCGCCGACCCGUUUCGACUACCCACAUCGCCCAGUUCGCGGCCACCACGUCGUCAAACCCGCUUCAGGCACCUUUCGUCCGGCAAGCCGCCGAUCAGUUUCGAGCAACAACACCGCCUCGUUUGCUGCCCCCACGCCAUCAAACCCGUUUCAAGCACCUUCGUCCGGCAAGCCGCCGACCAGUAUCGGGUACCAACAUCGCCAUUUCGCAGCCACCACGCCACCAAGCCCGCUUCGAACACCUUCGCUGGCUGCUAGCGGCCCCCUUUCAUGCAGAGCAGAGACCAUCGACCAACACUCAGGGCAGCCAUAGGCCCUUGCACGCAAGUACCCUAAAAAUGUGUGACGUUUGUACCUAAAUUACCGCCCUAGGGCAAAUAAACCAAUAUGAUGUUAAGCUAAA